UCUGGGAUAUCUGCGGCCAGAUUUUUGUCCUGAGAUAGCUUACAGUAGGCUACAGUACUACAGUCUUUUGCUGCAGGAAAUUGUUGCAGUUGCAGUGCUGCGAACUGCGAAGAGCAGCUAGAUCUAGCUAGAUAUCUAGUGUAGCCCAAGUUAGAACAUGCAUGAUCGAUGUGCUGGAAUCAAUGUCAGUGAACAGGAAUGUAGUGAUGUUGGAGUCAGUGAGACUUUUAUAUUAUUCAACUUAGAUCUAGCCCCUUCACUUUCCAAAAGUUGAUUUUUAUUCAUGCAUGAUUCCCGUUAUUCCGUUAUUGGUGAAAUUGAUGGUCUCGAAUUCGAAAGAAGAAAAAUGGAAGAGCUUUCUGUGUGCAGAACCUUCAGCUCUUUUCAGUCUUUGCAGGACGCGGUCGAAACUGCAAUGAGAGGUCCAGUAUCGGUGCUUUCAUGUAGCAAGUCAGUGGAGCAAGCCAACAGAGAAGUGGCGGCUGGGGAAGGAAAGUUUCCUGAAAUACUUAAGUACAAGAGUGUGAGACUAGGUUGUAAGCAGCUUGGGAGGGCUGAUUUUAAAUCUGGUACUGUACGGCAGUCCCCUCCAAAACUGCAGUGUCCAGCUCAUGUGAUCGCUGUGGCUGACCGAGACCUGGGUGCCCUGUGCAUCAAGCAAGUGUCUCUGUCACACAACCACCCGGUGACCCCAACUGCUUCCACCUCAGGCUCAGUGCCGAUGCGACAACUGUUGCCAGAGUUACUGGACGAUGGUCACCAGAUCUCUGAUGUUGGCUUGACUGUUACUGUGUCAUACAAAGAAAAUGGCUGCUCAGAGCCAUCUGUAGGGAGCAGUGUUGGCCAUGCUAUUGGACGGGAAGAGUUGGUGCAAAGCUCGGAAACGCUGACAGCGACGCCUGAUGAUUACGAUAAUGAAGAUGAUGAGGAAGAUGAAGAUGAAAAUACUGAAGAUAAUGACGAAGAAGAAGAAGAUGAGGAAGAAGAAGAAGCAGAGGUUAAUGAGGCCAGCAUCAGUGGUGGGACAUGUUCAAAGUCAAAGAAAGCUUUAAGUUCCUCUCCGCCUAGAAGUGGCUCAAAGGCAAAGAAGUACGGCCAGUACAGUCCUGAUGCCCUGGCUGCUGCAUGGUCAGCCAUUGUUAGCGACGGACUCUCCAUCCAUAUGGCUGCCAAGGUGUACGGCAUCCCGAAGUCCACUCUCCACGACAGGGUCAAUAACAGGAACGUCUUCAACUUGGGGGGAAAACCUAAUGCAAACAAAACCAAGAUUCUUGACCCAGAGACAGAGUGCCAAAUGGUGGAACAUGUUCGCCUACUCCAGACUUCUGGUCAUCAUGUAACGAAAAGCGAAGUUCUCUCUCUGGCGUCCAUGCUGGCACAAGUAGGGGGAACGUUGUCAAAAAACCGAACUCUGACAAGAGGCUGGCUGAUCAGCUUUGAGCAACGGUGGCCUGGCCUCCUAUCUGGAGAAGGGACCCUGCUUGCCAAAGACGGGUCUGGAUCGAUAACCACUGGCAAAGAGGGGCAAUGUAGCAGGCUGCAGAAUGUGACUGCUUACUAUGACAAACUAAAGUCUCUUCUGCACAGUACUGACCACACAUUACACAAGAAGCCGCAUUUGAUCUUCAGCCUCGAUGAAAUUGUUUUUUGUGAAGAGAAAAAGUUAAACCAUGCCCCACCGAUGGUUAAACGGCGAUCCCAACUGUCUCCUGGUGACCUGGUUUUAGCCAGUGUUCUGAUCUGUGCCAGUGCCGCAGGCCACAUUCUGCCUUUGUUUUUUGUUCUCAGAGACCCGAGUGCCAAACUCUGCCCUAAUGGAGGGGUGUCCCAUUGUGUGUCUGCCACAGGUUUAGCUGAUUCGCAGAUACUGAAGAGAUUUAUUGAAAGCCACUUCUUCGAACACCUUUGUAUUGGAAUGGGUGACCAGGCACUGCUGCUGUAUGACCACCAGAAUAAAGAGAUUGAUAAAGAACUGACCACUUUUGCAAGAGAGAGAAAAGUUAUCCUGAACCCUGACCCUCCUCACCGCUCCUUUUCUAGUCAACCAUUAGACUUUGGCUGUGUGUCCAACUUUUCACGAGUGUUCAGAGAAUUAUAUGCUGAAUGUGGGAAUGAGCACUGUGAUAGCAAUCUCUUAGUUAGACUGGUUCAGGCCACUAUGGACAAGAAAAUCUCUGCCAAGUCAAUAAGAGCUUACUUUGAAAAGGCUGGGAUUUAUCCAUUUGAUACAUCGAAAUUGACGAAAGAACAUUUACUGCCGUACACAUUUCAGUCAAUGUUUGACAAGAAACGUUCUUGUCCAAGUACCGGUACUAAUGUGUCUCGUGAAGUGGACAGUGGGAGAAAGAAACGAAGGCGACUGCUCCAGACAGAAGGAGGAAAGUCCUCACGUCAUGGAGGAGUCCAACUGCCGAGUGCUGUGUGUUUCCGCUCUGUCUCAGAGGCAGAGGAAGUGUGUUGUGUGUGUGGGAAACUGGAGCCUGAUUUCACCUCAGGGGAAGUGUCAUCCACCCCCAUCCACUGGGGUCAAUGUAGUAAAUGUCCCCACUGGGUGCAUCUCAAGUACUGUUCUGUUUUCAAGUCCCUUACUGCUAACACAAUUUUCUUGUGUGACCACUGCACUGGGCUCUGACCUGUACCGAUUUAACCUGCUGAGAUUUCCUGAGCUGCGAUCAAAAGAAGUUUCAGAUUGCUAAGCGGAAGUUUUCCACCAAGCACUAUGGGCGAUACUCACCCGAGGACCUCCAGAGAGCCUAUGAUGCCAUCAAGAAAAAGGGUCUGUC
This 2783-nucleotide unclassified non-coding RNA is filed under the name Aplysia californica (California sea hare). RNAcentral describes it as "uncharacterized LOC101860769, transcript variant X2". The record is from RNAcentral. Lineage: Eukaryota; Metazoa; Mollusca; Gastropoda; Aplysiida; Aplysiidae.